RNAcentral lists this ribosomal RNA (3528 nucleotides) under Pisolithus tinctorius. RNAcentral's name for it is "large subunit ribosomal RNA". The stretch from base 369 to 3488 matches the Rfam family "Bacterial large subunit ribosomal RNA". Lineage: Eukaryota; Fungi; Basidiomycota; Agaricomycetes; Boletales; Pisolithaceae. The record is from RNAcentral.
AAUGCAUAAAUAUAAGGUGAAAACUGUACGAUAAUAGACCUGUAUUUUUAUGUAAUAGUAUUAUAUUAGAUAGUAUUCUUUAAUAUAUUGUUAUUAUUUAUUUAAAUCUUAUCUAAUAAAUAUUAACAAAUAAUUAAUAUUAUAAUUUAAAUUAUAAUAUAUUAAUAAAAUUCUAUUAUCUUUGAGUUAAUUCUUACAGAUAUUUUAUUAAUAAUAUACUAUUGAAAAUAAUGGUGUGUAAUUAAAAUAUAUCAUCAUUAAUAAAUUAACUUUAAUAAUUAAUUUUAUUAUAAUUAAUUUUAAUAUAAUGAUAUAUAUUAUAAUAUUUUAUAUUAUAAUAAAUUACAAAUUAAUUCUUUAUAGAAUUAAUAUAAAUAAGUACGAUGAGAGUUAACUUGUCGGAAUAUAGGGGAACCAUCCUCUAAGGCUAAGUAUUAUAAAUUUAGCGAUAGUGAAAUAGUACCGUGAGGGAAAAGUUGAAAAGAGUGUGAGUAAAUACACUUAGGUAGAAAUGGAAAAAAGAUACUGAAUGUACCUACUCUUAAAAGUAAAUAACGCAGUGAAAUAGACUUGAAUUAGUAACUCUAUAAGCAGUCGAAAUUUUAUUUAUAUAAAAUGACGGCGUACCUUUUGCAUAAUGGGUCAGCAAGUUAAUAGAAGUAGCAAGGUUAAAAGCCUAAGCGAAAGCGACUACUUAGUUAGUAAGUGGGUUAAGUUACUUCUAUUAGACCCGAAGCCAGGUGAUCUUUCCAAGACCAGAUUUAAACAGAUCGAACGGGUGAAUGUUGCAUAAUUCUCCGAUGAGUUUUGGAAAGCGGUGAAAUGCUAAUCUGACCUGGUGAUAGCUGGUUUUCUACGAAACAUAUUUAAGUAUGACAUCUACAUAAAAAUUUAUGGAGGUACAGCACGGUAAUUCCCAACAAAUAUUAAAAAUAAAUAUAAUUUUAUUAUAUUAAUUUUGAUAGGAGUUUAGGUUGUGGGGACCUCGAAAAUCUUACCAAUGGAAAUGAAUCUCGGAAUUACAUAAAUUGGUGGUAGAUAUUCAGACUAUUCAUGCUAAGUUGAAUAGUCAAGACGGAAACAGCCGAGAACACAAAUUAAGGUCCCGAAUGAUUAUUAAGUGAAAUAAAGGAUGUGACAUAUUGAAUGCAGCUGAAAAGUGAGCCUGGCAGUCGCUAACUUAUAAUGAACGUGUAACAACGUAUCAGCCCUUAGAUAGUUGCACCGAAGAUUUAACGGGUCUAAAAUAAUCAACCGAUAUUGUGUUAAUUUUAAAUAUAUUUUUAUUUAAAAUUUAGGUAGUAGAACGUUCAGAUAAUUGAGAGUAUAUUUCAAAAAUCCAAACCAACAAUUAACAGUGUUUCAUUGUUUAUAGGAAUCUGAAGUGAUAAUGCUGACAUGAGUAACGUAAAAAGAAAGCUGAAUUUAGAAUUAUAUUCUAAUAAAAUAAACUUUCUCGCCGAAUACGAAAGGGUUAUUAGCUAAAGAUUAAUUCGACUAAUGUUAAUGCGGUCUCUAAGGUACAAAACCAAAGUUUUGACUGAUGAGUAAAGCUUUGAAAGCUCUGAUGGAGAAUAUUAAAUUACAAAGAAUGAAAUGUAAAAAUGUAAAAAUUUUUACAUGGAAAUAAGUUAAAUUAAGUUGAAAUUUUUAAGUAAUUUUAAUAAAAUUUAUACUUAAUGUUCUAUUGAUAGAUGAAUAUUUCUCAAUUAGUAAUUAAUAUUAAAAUAGAGCCAGGAAAAAUAUGUUUUUGAAUAACUUAAUCUUAUAGAUAAGUAUGUUAAAAUUUUAGACCUUAGAGUGAAUAUUCUAAGAUAAUCUAUCAAAAAUAAAUAUAAUAAAAAUAUUUAAUUUAUUUCAAAUUAGUCAUUUGAAAUAUAAUUUCUUAUUUGUUUAUAUUUAGUUUAACUUAAAAAAUAAAUAUUUUAUUUUUAAUUGGAUAAGAAUUAAGAAUAAUUUUAUUAUUUUUUGACUUAUUAAUAUUAUUUAUUUAAUGGUUACAUUUUGUAAUAAUAUGAAUAUUUUUUUAAGCCCACCGUACCCUAAACCGACACAGGUUCGUAGGUAGAGAAUACUAAGGCGUAGAGCUAAAAGUUGUAAAGGAACUCGGCAAAUUAUCCUCGUAAGUUCGUCAAUAAGAGGAACCACUUUCUAACUUUAAUAACUCCUGUUAAUGUAAGUCUUAAAAAAGUGGUGGCACAAAAUCGGAAGCCCCGACUGUUUACUAAAAACACAACUAUCUGCAAUGAUGCAAAUCAUAGUAUAGGUAGUGAGGUUUGCCCAAUGCCAUCAGCAUAAGAGACGUAAUAGGAAACUGUUAAAUAUCGAAAGCCUGGUUAAUAGCGGUCUUAACCAUGAGGAUCCUAAGGUAGCAAAAUAAAUUGGCCAUUAAAUGUGGUCCAGUAUCAAUAAUUUAACGAUGGCUUCACUGUCUCUACAACUUGCUCAGUGAAAUUGAAUUGUGAGUGCAGAUGCUCACUACUCGCAGGGGGACGGGAAGACCCUAUGCAGCUUCUACUGUAGUUAGUCAUCACAUUUAUUACCUUCAUACUUUAGUAACCAGAUAAUAGGGAAGUCGAUUAGACAUAAUAUGGAAAACCUUAUAACUGAAGUUGGGUUCAUGUUUACCUUUCUAUCUUUAUAGAUAUUUAGAAAGGGAGAGCUGACUAAUUGGCAGUUUGACUGGGGCGGUCGUCUUUAAUAGAGUAGCAAAGUACAUCCAAGUAGAUUAAAAUUAAUUAAAAUAUUUUACUAAACUUUAAUAAAAAUUAAAUUAGUAAAUAUUCAGACAAAAAAUUAAUUAUAGUAAAUAAAGUAAUUUAAUUACUAAAAAUUCAAAUUUAUUAUUAUUCAUUAGAUAAGGUAUGCUAGAAAUUAAAUGGAAGUUAAUAAACCAGUGAAUAAGGUUUUGGAGAGCGCAAUGGCGGUAAGCAUGCUUAACUGAAAGACUUAAAAGUCGAACAGAUACGUAAGUAGGGCAUAGUGACCCCUCGCUAUAUAAUGGAAUAGACGGGGAUCAAUUGAUAAAAGUUACGCUAGGGAUAACAGGCUGAUAGCCGGCGAGAGUACACAUUGUCCCGGCUGUUUGGCACCUCGAUGUCGACUUAACCUAUCCUCCAGGAGCAAAAUCUUGGAAGGGUUCGGCUGUUCGCCGAUUAAAAGGUUACAUGAGUUGGGUUUAAUACGACGUGAGUCAGUAUGGUCCCUAUCUUCUGUGAGAAUAAAUAGUAAAAAGGGGGAGACCUUCUAGUACGAAAGGACCAAUAGGAUGUGUUUCUCUAGUGCACCAAUUGUUGAAAACAAUAUAUAUUUAGAUCUGAAAAGAUUUCAUAUUUAUUAGUGAGUAUGCACAGUUGGGUAGCCACAAACAUAUUAGAUAAGAGCUGAAAGUAUAUCAAGCAUGAAUCUAUCCCCUAGAUACUAUCAAGGAUUUCUUUUUGUUUUGUCUUAAGGAGGGUUUAACUUAAAUAUUCCUAUAAUUUAAAUCCAUUUCUGAAACCUCUAUAAAUAUAUAUUACAAUUUAUAGU